CACCUUAAAGGAUCCCGAAGUGCUUAACACAUGCAAGUCGAACGAUGAACCACUUCGGUGGGGAUUAGUGGCGAACGGGUGAGUAACACGUGGGCAAUCUGCCCUUCACUCUGGGACAAGCCCUGGAAACGGGGUCUAAUACCGGAUAACACUGCGGAUCUCAUGGUCUGCGGUUAAAAGCUCCGGCGGUGAAGGAUGAGCCCGCGGCCUAUCAGCUUGUUGGUGAGGUAAUGGCUCACCAAGGCGACGACGGGUAGCCGGCCUGAGAGGGCGACCGGCCACACUGGGACUGAGACACGGCCCAGACUCCUACGGGAGGCAGCGGUGGGGAAUAUUGCACAAUGGGCGAAAGCCUGAUGCAGCGACGCCGCGUGAGGGAUGACGGCCUUCGGGUUGUAAACCUCUUUCAGCAGGGAAGAAGCGAAAGUGACGGUACCUGCAGAAGAAGCGCCGGCUAACUACGUGCCAGCAGCCGCGGUAUUACGUAGGGCGCAAGCGUUGUCCGGAAUUAUUGGGCGUAAAGAGCUCGUAGGCGGCUUGUCACGUCGAUUGUG
Molecule: ribosomal RNA, 554 nt
Filed under: Streptomyces sp. EAGB47
Lineage: Bacteria; Bacillati; Actinomycetota; Actinomycetes; Kitasatosporales; Streptomycetaceae
Description: bacterial SSU rRNA
Rfam family: Bacterial small subunit ribosomal RNA
Source: RNAcentral